Molecule: ribosomal RNA, 253 nt
Filed under: uncultured bacterium
Lineage: Bacteria
Description: partial 16S ribosomal RNA
Rfam family: Bacterial small subunit ribosomal RNA
Source: RNAcentral
GACAGAGGUGCCAAGCGUUAGGCGGAAUCAUUGGGCUUAAAGUGUGUGUAGGCGGAUUGGUAAGUACCUUGUGAAAUCCCCCGGCUUAACCUGGGAACUGCGUCUGAUACUGGACGGCUUGAGUAUGGGAGAGGGAUGUAGAAUUCCAGGUGUAGCGGUGAAAUGCGUAGAUAUCUGGAGGAAUACCGGUGGCGAAGGCGGCAUCCUGGACCAUUACUGACGCUGAGGCGCGAAAGCUAGGGGAGCAAACGGG